CCUGUUUAACCAAAACAUGUCUUAUUGUAUUUUAUUUUAGGUCUAUUCUGCUCCAUGAUUUUAUUAAAUAGCUGCAGUAUAUUACCUGUCCCAAGGUAGCAUAAUAAUUUGUCUUUUUAUUGAGGGCUUGUAUGAAUGAUUGGCGAGAUAUUAGCUUUCUUUAUUUUAAUUUAUGAAUUUGAUUUUUUAGUUAAAAUGCUAAAAUUUUUUUAUGGGCGAGAAGCCCCUAUAGAAUUUUAUAAUUAUUAAAACUUUUUAUUUUAUUUUUUAUAAUUUUUUGUUUUUUUAAUUUUUUGGUUGGGGUGAUUAUAAAAAUUUUUAAACUUUUAUUUUUUAUUUUUCAAUAAUUUUUGUUUUUUUUGAUCCUUUAUUAUGGAUUUUGAGAUUAAAUUCCCUUAGGGAUAACAGCGUAAUUUUUUUGGAGAGUUCUUAUCGAUAAUAUAAGUUUGCGACCUCGAUGUUGG
Molecule: ribosomal RNA, 464 nt
Filed under: Pseudopachybrachius guttus
Lineage: Eukaryota; Metazoa; Arthropoda; Insecta; Hemiptera; Rhyparochromidae
Description: partial 16S ribosomal RNA
Source: RNAcentral